RNAcentral lists this ribosomal RNA (250 nucleotides) under uncultured bacterium. RNAcentral's name for it is "partial 16S ribosomal RNA". It matches the Rfam family "Bacterial small subunit ribosomal RNA", at positions 63 to 339 of the family's 1533-position model. The record is from RNAcentral.
CGAGCGCUUCCCUUCGGGGAGGAGCGGCGGACGGGUUAGUAACGCGUGGGAACAUACCCUUCACUAUGGAAUAGCCUCGGGAAACUGGGAGUAAUACCGUAUGUGCCCUUCGGGGGAAAGAUUUAUCGGAGAAGGAUCGGCCCGCGUUAGAUUAGAUAGUUGGUGGGGUAAUGGCCUACCAAGUCUACGAUCUAUAGCUGGUUUGAGAGGAUGAUCAGCAACACUGGGACUGAGACACGGCCCAGACUCC